RNAcentral lists this long non-coding RNA (2819 nucleotides) under Sus scrofa (pig). RNAcentral's name for it is "lncRNA (ENSSSCG00025008568.1)". Lineage: Eukaryota; Metazoa; Chordata; Mammalia; Artiodactyla; Suidae. The record is from RNAcentral.
UUUUUUUUUUUUUGUCUUUUUGUCUUUUUGUUGUUGUUGUUGCUAUUUCUUGUAAAUAAAUAUUUUAAUAAACAAUUUAUCCUGUUUUUCAUAUAGAAACCUAAACUUACAAUUCAAAGAAAUUAGUAAAACUGUGGUUUGGAGGAAUAAUCACCUUAUUUUUUUUUUCAUUUUUAAAGUUUUAUGGGAGUACAUUUGAUUCACAAUGUUGUGAUCAUUUCUGCUGUACAACAAAGUUAUCCAGUUACAUAAUACACAUAUCUAUUCUUUUUUAGAUUCUUUUCCCAUGUGGGUUAUCAAAGAUAUUGGGUAAAGUACUUUGUGCCAUACAGCAGGUCAACAUUGACCAUCCAUUCUAUAUACAAUAGCUUACAUACAUCAGUCCCGAACCCCUAAUCUAUCCCUGCUGCCCCUGUCCCCUUUGGUAACCACAAUUUUGUUUUCAGUCUGUGAGUCUCUUUGUGUUUUUUAAAAAAGUUCAUUUGUAUCUUUUUUUAAAGAUUCCACAUGUAAGUGAUAGCAUACAAUGUUUGUCUUUCUCUUGACUUACUUCACCUAGUAUGAUAAUCUCUAGGUCCAUCUAUGUUGUUGCAAAUAGCAUUAGUUCAUUUUUUUAUGGCUGAAUAAUAUUUCAUUAUAUACCAUAUCUUCUUUAUCCAUUCCUCUGAUGAUGGACAUUUAGGUUGCUUCCACAUCUUGGCUAUUGUAAAUAAUGCCGCAGUGAACAUUAAGGUACAUGUAUCAAAUUAUUAUUUGCAGAUCUUCUUUUUUCUAUUUAUCUAAUUCACUUCAAUGUCUAAAAGUGUAUAGGUAUUAAACAAAAGUUAUCAAAUUCCAAAGAUAGAAUCAUAAAAUAUUACAGCUGGAAGGAACCUUAGGAAUUAGCCACCAUCUCAUUUUGUGUAUGAGAAUUCUGAGGACUAGAGAGGCAGAAUACUAGUCAGUGUCUAUAGGACUAGUUAAUGUCUUACUCACAGAUUUGUUGCAAUCAUCAGUUCCUGCCAACUGAAAGAAGUUAUUCUUUAUGAAAUCCUAAGACAUUAGCAAAGUCAAAUGCUAAGAUCCUUUCUAUCUGAUCUUGGCAAUGUCAGCUUUAUGUGGUGCCCCUUCAAUAGGAAGAGCAGAAAUACUGCCACCGCUCAACAGCUGGAACAUCUCUGGGAAUGUAAUGGGCUCUGACAUUCAGCAAUAGAACUAACCAUAGCAUCUCAAGCAAUUAGAUAGCACUUUAUAAUUGAUGUGAUCCUUCCCAAGACAUUCACUGAUUUAUUCAUGUUUAUUGAGCACCUUCCUGGGUGAAGUGUCACAUGAGGCCCCAAGGAACUGUCCGAAGAUGAAUCAGACAGAAAGGUCCCUGCUGUUCUGGAGCUUAUAUUCUGACUACAGGGAGAAAGCAGCACAUAAACCAGGAAACAAAUGCGCAGCAUUCUCCUUUCUUUACCAUACUGUAUUACUUGAAACUCUACUGUUGCUUACUACUUCAUAUUCUUCAAAGAUGAUGAUGAUAGCGAGAAUAAUAAAGAAGAAAAUGAAAAAGAGGAAGAAAAUAGAAGGAGGAAAAUGAAGAGAAUGAUUAAGUAAAGGAGAAGGAAUAGGGGGAGAAAGAAGAAGAGAAGAGAAGAAGGUGGUGAAGGUGUAAUUCUCCUGGUCCCUUGCUGGUUUUACAACCCAAGACUGAUUUUCUCAAGGACCUAGGAGCCAUCCCUUUAGGUAAGGUCCUAAUUUUGAGAAGUACCAAUUAGCAAAGAUAAAUGGCUGAAUCACAUCAACCAACUUGCCACCAAUCCUCCAAUACUUUUCCACUGGCUCACUCCAGUGCUUAAAAGCUCUCCUACCUUUUGUUUUAGUGGAGUUGAAUUCAGUUUCUCUCUCCUAUUGCAAUAGUAUUGAAAAAAGUCUUUCUUGCCUGUCAACUCAGUUCAGCACAUUUUUUUUGUCAGUUUACAUAAAUCAGAGCUUUUCAAACAUUUGCAUAUGCAUGAAGGGCACUGCACAUGAUCAAUGAUCAAAUGAAAUAUUGCUACCCUCAGCACUCAAGGCAGGUAGAUGGAGCCACUGUAUGCAGAACCCCAGGCUAGUAAUUGCUGGGUGCAAGGAGCCUCUUCCAUUUUUCUAUAUCCAUUUACAUCUACAACAUUCCCUGUGUGAUCUUGUAUAAGAGAUGAGAGAUCACUGACAUGGAUGAAAGAAAGCUCUAAAUUCCUUAUUUAAUAUAUAUUUCUAGAAUGUUUCCAAUGCAUGGUUAAUUGCAUUCAAAUUUAAAGGAGUUUUGGAAAAGCAGGAGAGAAGAGGCAAAACUAAAGUGUCCAUAAGGAACUUGAAAUAUAACAUCAAAUAAUAGAAACAACAAAGAGAUGGUUCAAAGAACAUAAGAACAAGUUACACAACAGUACAAAGACUAAAAGAAAAUAUAUAAAUUGAAUUGAUGACAUAAAAAUGAUAUCAAAGAAAGAAAAUGUAGUAGUACAUGAAGGAAGUGAGGGCAAGAUUUAGUAAAGGAAAAAAGUUAGGUGAGUUACAGACAAUGUUAUGGGAAAGCUUCAUAAAGUAGGUGAGUUCGGAGUUCCUGUCAUGGCUCAGUGGUUAAUGAAUCCAACUAGGAACCAUGAGAUUGCAGGUUCGAUCCCUGGCCUUGCUCAGUGGGUUAAAGAUCUGGCGUUGCUGUGAGCUGAGAUGUAGGUUCUCAGAUGCAGCUCGGAUCUGGCGUUUCUGUGGCUCUGGCGUAGGCUGGCAGCUAUAGCGCCGAUUAGACCCCUAGCCUGGGAACCUCCAUAUGCUGCCAGAGUGGCCCUAGAAAAGGCAAAAAGACAAAAAAAAAA